This 799-nucleotide long non-coding RNA is filed under the name Homo sapiens (human). Its description in RNAcentral is "non-protein coding lnc-AQP12A-2:2". Lineage: Eukaryota; Metazoa; Chordata; Mammalia; Primates; Hominidae. The record is from RNAcentral.
CGCAGCUUCCCAUCCAGCUCCUCACACUCCCCGACAACCCCUCGCACACGUCUCUGCAGCUUUCCUCACGAUUCUGCGCACCGUUCCACACACGGUUCCUCACCGCUCCCCACGUUUCCCAAACAGCUCCUCCCGCCAUGGCUCACACACUUCCUCACACGUUCCUCACACAACCCUUCACGCCAUCCCCAAUGCGGGUGCACACACACUUUCCACACACUUCCUCAGGCCAUUCGCCCGUGUGCACCCCGUUCCUACACACAGCGCUCCACACGGCUCCUCACGGGUCCCCAACAGCACCUCCAUGUUCCCACCCAGUUCCACACAGUUCCACACUCAGUUCCACACUCAGUCCCUCACUCAGUUCCACACUCAGUUCCUCACAGUUCCACACUCAGUUCCUCACUCACUUCCUCACUCAGUUCCUCAUAGUUCCACACUCAGUUCCUCACAGUUCCACACAGUUCCACACUCAGUUCCACACUCAGUCCCUCACUCAGUUCCACACUCAGUUCCUCACAGUUCCACACUCAGUUCCACACUCAGUCCCUCACUCAGUUCCACACUCAGUUCCUCACUCACUUCCUCACUCAGUUCCUCUCAGUUCCACACUCAGUUCCUCACUCACUUCCUCACAGUUCCACACUCAGUUCCUCACAGUUCCACACUCACUUCCUCACUCAGUUCCUCACAGUUCCUCACUCAGUUCCUCACAGUUCCACACUCAGUUCCUCAUAGUUCCCCACAGUUCCCACACUUCCCCACACUGGCUGACACGCUUCCUCGCACGGUUCUGCGG